This 207-nucleotide ribosomal RNA is filed under the name uncultured bacterium. RNAcentral's name for it is "partial 16S ribosomal RNA". It matches the Rfam family "Bacterial small subunit ribosomal RNA", at positions 568 to 774 of the family's 1533-position model. The record is from RNAcentral.
CGCGUAGGCGGACAGUUUAGUCAGAGGUGAAAGCCCAGGGCUCAACCUUGGAAUUGCCUUUGAUACUGGCUGUCUUGAGUUCGGGAGAGGUGAGUGGAAUGCCGAGUGUAGAGGUGAAAUUCGUAGAUAUUCGGCGGAACACCAGUGGCGAAGGCGACUCACUGGCCCGAUACUGACGCUGAGGCGCGAAAGCGUGGGGAGCAAACA